GCUGAGUUGGGUAGUGCCAACUUGGGACCCAAGUGAGAGCACUAAAAUAAUGGGACAUGGCUAUGGCUUGUCUUGGCUGAGCUGGUUUCUGCAAUAUGCUGGCUUGUCCGCUCCAAGUUGAGAGUUGUGCCAUGGGACUUUGGCAUACGCCUUCGUCUCAUGGCUCCUAGACUAGAGGGCACUGCGUGAGGCUCUGCUCACAGAGCAGCGAAGACCUCUCCCUCCUGACAGUGGAGGGAUUACAAGCUGCUGUACUUCUAGUCUACUAAGCCGGUGAGCCUAGCCUUUGAACCAUCAUUUUU
RNAcentral lists this signal recognition particle RNA (302 nucleotides) under Medicago truncatula (barrel medic). Its description in RNAcentral is "SRP RNA gene32901". It matches the Rfam family "Plant signal recognition particle RNA". The record is from Rfam by way of RNAcentral. Lineage: Eukaryota; Viridiplantae; Streptophyta; Magnoliopsida; Fabales; Fabaceae.